RNAcentral lists this ribosomal RNA (253 nucleotides) under uncultured bacterium. RNAcentral describes it as "partial 16S ribosomal RNA". It matches the Rfam family "Bacterial small subunit ribosomal RNA", at positions 524 to 776 of the family's 1533-position model. The record is from RNAcentral.
UACGCAGGGGGCUAGCGUUGUUCGGAUUUACUGGGCGUAAAGCGCGUGUAGGCGGGUCGUUAAGUUGGGGGUGAAAGCCCGAGGCUCAACCGCGGAACUGCCCUCAAAACUGGCGGCCUGGACUCAAGCAGAGGCAAGUGGAAUUGCGAGUGUAGAGGUGAAAUUCGUAGAUAUUCGCAGGAACACCAGUGGCGAAGGCGACUUGCUGGGCUUGUAGUGACGCUGAGACGCGAAAGCGUGGGGAGCAAACAGG